Mesocricetus auratus (golden hamster) is the source of this 627-nucleotide long non-coding RNA. RefSeq lists it as uncharacterized. The record is from RefSeq and is a predicted model, not a curated record. Lineage: Eukaryota; Metazoa; Chordata; Mammalia; Rodentia; Cricetidae. The transcript is spliced from 3 exons.
CUAUAAAUCUUAGGUAGUGUUCACUUUCCCUGCCAGUCUGCUAAACAACCUGGGGUUUUUCUCAAGGAAAACAGAAGCUGCCCAUCAUUCUCUGUCCACUGCACCCUCCUACCAGGCUCCAGAAGCCAGCGUGCUGCACAGGAGGUCCACUUUUCAACUUGAGGAUCAAUACAAGCUAAACAGGUGAUAUUUCCAGCCCAAAGGGACAACACAAGUCGAUGCAUUUAAUGCUCUCCCUUGGGGAUUCUCUGAUGAAAAGACCUACCGGGUAGAAGAGGACAAACACAUCAUUGUGUGACAGAGACCAGGGAGCCUCAUAAAUCAAGGAGAACCGCUAUCCACUCCCAUCUAGACAAGCAGAGACCUUCCACUGUGAGGAAGCCAGCAUGGGGGAAAAGGACCAGCUGCCACCGCGGACACCGCUCAAAGGACUCAACUGUCCUCAGCUCCCUUGACAAACUCUUGUAUAACUCAAUUCAACAACCCUGGGAGUAGGUGGAACACCCACUCACUCAGUGAUGUUGGCUACUCGUGUCCAUCUUUGCUUGGGUCUGUGAAACCCCUGGAAAAUAGCAGCAGUAAGAAAUAAUCAAAUGGGGGGAGGGCACGGGAGGAGGGGAGGGAAAG